Molecule: ribosomal RNA, 223 nt
Filed under: uncultured bacterium
Lineage: Bacteria
Description: partial 16S ribosomal RNA
Rfam family: Bacterial small subunit ribosomal RNA
Source: RNAcentral
CGUAGGUAACCUGCCUCUUAGCGGGGGAUAACUAUUGGAAACGAUAGCUAAUACCGCAUAAAAGUCGAUAUCGCAUGAUAUUGAUUUGAAAGGUGCAAUUGCAUCACUAAGAGAUGGACCUGCGUUGUAUUAGCUAGUUGGUGAGGUAACGGCUCACCAAGGCGACGAUACGUAGCCGACCUGAGAGGGUGAUCGGCCACACUGGGACUGAGACACGGCCCAG